CGCCAGGAACCAUGCGAGGAGAUGCCGCCCAACUCCGCCAGGUCCGGAAGGAAGCAACGGUAAGCGGAGGUCUGCUGCGCCGUGGCAGCCCUGGCAGGG
This 99-nucleotide signal recognition particle RNA is filed under the name Treponema sp. RNAcentral describes it as "signal recognition particle sRNA small type". It matches the Rfam family "Bacterial small signal recognition particle RNA". From Rfam's summary of the family: The signal recognition particle (SRP) is a universally conserved ribonucleoprotein involved in the co-translational targeting of proteins to membranes. Archaeal SRP consists of a 7S RNA and homologues of the eukaryotic SRP19 and SRP54 proteins. The record is from RNAcentral. Lineage: Bacteria; Pseudomonadati; Spirochaetota; Spirochaetia; Treponematales; Treponemataceae.